RNAcentral lists this ribosomal RNA (253 nucleotides) under uncultured bacterium. RNAcentral's name for it is "partial 16S ribosomal RNA". It matches the Rfam family "Bacterial small subunit ribosomal RNA", at positions 524 to 776 of the family's 1533-position model. The record is from RNAcentral.
UACAGAGGGUGCGAGCGUUAAUCGGAAUUACUGGGCGUAAAGCGCACGUAGUCGGCUUUGCAAGUCGGGUGUGAAAUCCCCGGGCUCAACCUGGGAACUGCAUCCGAGACUGCAUUGCUAGAGUAUGGGAGAGGGAAGCGGAAUUUCUGGUGUAGCAGUGAAAUGCGUAGAUAUCAGAAGGAACAUCAGUGGCGAAGGCGGCUUCCUGGACCGGCAUUGACGCUGAGGCGCGAAAGCUAGGGGAGCAAACGGG